RNAcentral lists this ribosomal RNA (109 nucleotides) under Castor canadensis (American beaver). Lineage: Eukaryota; Metazoa; Chordata; Mammalia; Rodentia; Castoridae. The record is from RNAcentral.
GUCUACGGCCAUACCACCCUGAACGCGCGCAAUCUCAGAAGCUAAGCAGGGUCGGGCCUGGUUAGUACUUGGAUGGGAGGCCCCCUUGAAAUACUAGGUGCUGUAGGCU